RNAcentral lists this ribosomal RNA (473 nucleotides) under uncultured organism. RNAcentral's name for it is "partial 16S ribosomal RNA". It matches the Rfam family "Bacterial small subunit ribosomal RNA", at positions 332 to 797 of the family's 1533-position model. The record is from RNAcentral.
UACACUCCUGCGGGAGGCAGCAGUGGGGAAUUUUGGACAAUGGGCGAAAGCCUGAUCCAGCAAUGCCGCGUGCAGGAUGAAGGCCUUCGGGUUGUAAACUGCUUUUGUACGGAACGAAAAAGCUCCUUCUAAUACAGGGGGCCCAUGACGGUACCGUAAGAAUAAGCACCGGCUAACUACGUGCCAGCAGCCGCGGUAAUACGUAGGGUGCGAGCGUUAAUCGGAAUUACUGGGCGUAAAGCGUGCGCAGGCGGUUAUGUAAGACAGAUGUGAAAUCCCCGGGCUCAACCUGUGAACUGCAUUUGUGACUGCAUGGCUAGAGUACGGUAGAGGGGGAUGGAAUUCCGCGUGGAGCAGUGAAAUGCGUAGAUAUGCGGAGGAACACCGAUGGCGAAGGCAAUCCCCUGGACCUGUACUGACGCUCAUGCACGAAAGCGUGGGGAGCAAACAGGAUUAGAAACCCUUGUAGUCCC